This is a long non-coding RNA of Ruditapes philippinarum (Manila clam), 696 nucleotides long. RefSeq lists it as uncharacterized. NCBI's taxonomy places the organism in Eukaryota, Metazoa, Mollusca, Bivalvia, Venerida, Veneridae. The record is from RefSeq and is a predicted model, not a curated record. The transcript is spliced from 2 exons.
ACAGGUCGGAAAUUUAGUGACAUGGUAUGGUAUUGGUUUUUUACCGUAUAGUACGGUAUCUAGAGUUUAGAGCAGUUUCAUUCGGAGCGCUUUUGUCAUUCUCUAUCAGUUGUUGGCGGAGGUAGAUGCGUGAAGCUUUUGUCACCUUUUGCUUCUGUAAAUUUAUGGUUAUAUUUUGUUGGAAGAAGGUUUUAGUAUUCAUGCAGUUACAAACACCAGAAUGGGGAGUGUGUGAUGUAUGUUUAAGUGGAAAUACCAAGGAUCCCAUUGAUCCUGAAAGUAAUUCUUAAUGUUAUAUUGUUUCUUAUUUUUUACAUAUAUCAUUGUUAAAUGUGCAAAGGAUUAUAUGUAAUGUUUUUAUUUUAAUUCAUUUAGGAUCGAACCACAAGUAUGUUCAUUAAGGAUCGAACCACAAGUACGUUCAUUAAGUAUCGAACCACAAGUACGAAUGACAAUUUAAGUUAUUCUUUGAUAACAUUUACCAAUAUAAUAUUGCAAUGCUAUAUGUCAUUUUAAGUAAUCGUUAUAUUGUUUAGUAAAUAUAUGCUAUUGUAUAUUUCAGGGUGAUAUGUAUAUACUCCUGUAUACACAUGAAUAAUUAAUUGGAAAAAUGUAAAUAUAAACAGUAUGAGUGAUCAAUAAGUAUGUUAGAGUUAUCCUGAAAAGAAAAUAAAGACUAUCUGAACUCUGAUGAAA